Molecule: ribosomal RNA, 301 nt
Filed under: uncultured bacterium
Lineage: Bacteria
Description: partial 16S ribosomal RNA
Rfam family: Bacterial small subunit ribosomal RNA
Source: RNAcentral
CAGUAGCCGCGGUAAUACGGAGGGAGCUAGCGUUGUUCGGAAUUACUGGGCGUAAAGCGCACGUAGGCGGUUAUUCAAGUCAGAGGUGAAAGCCCGGGGCUCAACCCCGGAACUGCCUUUGAAACUAGAUGACUAGAAUCUUGGAGAGGUCAGUGGAAUUCCGAGUGUAGAGGUGAAAUUCGUAGAUAUUCGGAAGAACACCAGUGGCGAAGGCGACUGACUGGACAAGUAUUGACGCUGAGGUGCGAAAGCGUGGGGAGCAAACAGGAUUAGAUACCCCGGUAGUCCCUGUCUCUUAUAA